Molecule: transfer RNA, 172 nt
Filed under: Penicillium italicum
Lineage: Eukaryota; Fungi; Ascomycota; Eurotiomycetes; Eurotiales; Aspergillaceae
Rfam family: tRNA
About the family: Transfer RNA (tRNA) molecules are approximately 80 nucleotides in length. Their secondary structure includes four short double-helical elements and three loops (D, anti-codon, and T loops).
Source: Rfam by way of RNAcentral
GUGAGUUUGGCCGAGUUGGUCUAAGGCGCCAGGUUAGUUUCAUCCCCUCUCUCAAACUCCAAAUCCGAGUUUCCACUAAUCAUAUCACAGACUCAAGAGAACUACCUCUUUCACUGUUUCAGUGAGUCUUCUGGUCUCGAAAGAGGCGUGGGUUCGAAUCCCACAGCUCACA